AUGAGGCCACACAGGGGCGUGGCAAAGGCAUCAGGUACGGGCAGGAGGUCACACAGGGGCGUGGUUUUCCAGUUCACAAAUCUGAUCAAUUUUAACCUGUAUGCCUGCCUACUUCAUCCCCACAGGGCCAGGCACCCAGGAGGGCCCAGCAAUCUGCGAGAUGCAAGAAUGAAUGAAGCGUACAGGAGUGAAGGAGGAGCCUGCCCUCAUGGGGGGUUCCUGGGCCAGGCCCUGGCCCUUUCUACCACCUGCUCUGUGAGUUUGGGCUUAGUGUCCGAGCCCGGGAAGCAGACACAUCAGCAAGCGGAGCCUUCCGACAGAAAAGCUUCUCCCAGACCCUUGACCCUCAGUGGUUCUGUUCCAGCCUCCAACCCCCCCCCCCCCCCGCCCGGGAGACUCUGGGUUAGGACAGUUCACAGGCACGUGGCAUCUAUUCUAUCUCAAAGUUUAAAAAGAAUAACAACACGUGAGGAAGAUCUGUCCAGUGCCACCAUCUGGCCGCAGCUGUUGCCUGCCCUGUGGAUGUCCUCGUCCUGUGAUGUCCACGUCCUAACCGAGCCUCGCCUAUCUCAGUCGGGCCCUUGUUCUCUGGAUGAACGCGGGCUCCCGUCUCUGCAACCAAGGGCAUGCCUUUGACUCUGUGGGAAUGGCCACCCCCUCACAUUCCCUCCAGCUGCUUCUGGGAGUCCCUGGGGAAUCUCUGCUUGGCCAGCAGCUUCUGAAACCUUAGUGGAGUGACUCUUCCUGUUUUGCUCACUUGUGACAGCGUCUCCCCUCCCCAGGGGUCAGGCCGAGGCGCAGGAGGGCUGCUCACGGGAGCGAUGCAUCCAUGCAUUGGGAAGGCGGAACAGCGGCAGGCACAGAGCAGGACGCGGGACACGGCAGUCCCUUCUGUGUGGGCGCCGCCCUCUCACGCUUACAACCCAGCAGGCGACCACUACGAGGAGAGUGCGAUGCAAUUUCAUACCCGUGACAGAUUGGAAAGGCCAGUAUUCUCAAGUGCCGGGGACGUGGGGAGACGGAGGUUCCCCAGCCCUGCUGCGGACAUGCGGAUUCUGGAAGUGACUGGGCGGGGUUUAGCAACGUUAACUCUGGGCUUGCGUCAUGAUCCAGCCAAGCCACUGUUUGGCUGUCAUCCCAGAAAGUCUCUCCCCAAUGUCCGCGAGACGACAUGGCAGGGGCGGUCACUGGAUCACAGGCAGAGAUCGCACUGAUCACUGGGUCAGUGGCCAACGUAGCAGAUCUGGGCUGGGUUACCGGGGGAGCCACAAGGAACAGCAGCCUCGAUGUGGGGUUGGCAGCGAGGGCAGAGAAAGCCCAACGCAGGACACAGAGCAAGACUCAGUUUUGGAAAGUUGCAACACACGCAAGGAACCCUUCAAAGAAAGUAUGCAAGAUACAUCCUUGUUCUGGGAGAGGGAAGACAUGAAAUCAAUCAGAAACCACCCAGAUCAGUUGUUGUGCCCUGGAGGUGAUGUUGGCUCAGCUCCCAGCACGCGGAGACAUCGCACACUGGCAAACUCCGGGGUCCAGUGCAGGUGCUCUGGGGGCCACCCCGGGCUGCUCUGCUUCGUGUUUUCCCUUCCAGCCUUGGUCCAGACCUCAAGCCAACGCUCCGUGUCCGGGUUCUCAUCAC
Long non-coding RNA from Oryctolagus cuniculus (rabbit), 1636 nucleotides. The record is from Ensembl. NCBI's taxonomy places the organism in Eukaryota, Metazoa, Chordata, Mammalia, Lagomorpha, Leporidae.